Non-coding RNA from Vicia faba (fava bean), 354 nucleotides. The record is from the annotation of a GenBank genome assembly. NCBI's taxonomy places the organism in Eukaryota, Viridiplantae, Streptophyta, Magnoliopsida, Fabales, Fabaceae.
AUGAUAGCUUGGAUAUACACUGUCUUUCCUAGCCUCAUUCUAAUAACAAGAAUAACUCUUCACUCAUAUGGAAGAUCAGCCUAUGUUGCAACCUUAGAGCAUAGUAAGAAUCUUUUUGCCAUAUCAGUACGUUACCAGUAUGCUGCAGCAGAACAGCGACCAUUACCAUAUGGAUCGGAUACCACUGUCACUCACCCUACAAAUACCCUCAUUCUCCCCCAUCCUGCCUUCCCAUCAUCAAUUCACUACAAACCAUUCCUCUCAUUACAUUCUUCAUUAUCUCAUUCUCACAACACAGUGGUCUCUAUCUUGAGACCUCUGAGUUUGUUGCUGUACUUUGCUCUUUCAAGCUAA